Molecule: ribosomal RNA, 646 nt
Filed under: Achromobacter insolitus
Lineage: Bacteria; Pseudomonadati; Pseudomonadota; Betaproteobacteria; Burkholderiales; Alcaligenaceae
Description: bacterial SSU rRNA
Rfam family: Bacterial small subunit ribosomal RNA
Source: RNAcentral
CGCCCUAAACGAUGUCAACUAGCUGUUGGGGCCUUUCGGGCCCUUGGUAGCGCAGCUAACGCGUGAAGUUGACCGCCUGGGGAGUACGGUCGCAAGAUUAAAACUCAAAGGAAUUGACGGGGACCCGCACAAGCGGUGGAUGAUGUGGAUUAAUUCGAUGCAACGCGAAAAACCUUACCUACCCUUGACAUGUCUGGAAUGCCGAAGAGAUUUGGCAGUGCUCGCAAGAGAACCGGAACACAGGUGCUGCAUGGCUGUCGUCAGCUCGUGUCGUGAGAUGUUGGGUUAAGUCCCGCAACGAGCGCAACCCUUGUCAUUAGUUGCUACGAAAGGGCACUCUAAUGAGACUGCCGGUGACAAACCGGAGGAAGGUGGGGAUGACGUCAAGUCCUCAUGGCCCUUAUGGGUAGGGCUUCACACGUCAUACAAUGGUCGGGACAGAGGGUCGCCAACCCGCGAGGGGGAGCCAAUCCCAGAAACCCGAUCGUAGUCCGGAUCGCAGUCUGCAACUCGACUGCGUGAAGUCGGAAUCGCUAGUAAUCGCGGAUCAGCAUGUCGCGGUGAAUACGUUCCCGGGUCUUGUACACACCGCCCGUCACACCAUGGGAGUGGGUUUUACCAGAAGUAGUUAGCCUAACCGCAAGGG